CAAGUGCACACGGUGAUCGAACAAUUGGAAUUAUUCUACGAGCAAUCGUAUGUUUGAUUUGAUUCCGCUAAAAGAUUUCAUCAAAAAUUUUAUUUUUAGGUAUCAUUCUGCAAUGCUCAUCUAGGACAAUCUGCAAAUAAUCAGCUUCUAGUUUUUGCAUACGGACGAAAUGUGGAUAACAAAAUGAUAUAUUCUUCUACAAGAUGUGAAGAUCGGAAUGCUUCG
RNAcentral lists this small RNA (225 nucleotides) under Caenorhabditis elegans. Its description in RNAcentral is "Unclassified non-coding RNA ZK1128.11". The record is from RNAcentral. Lineage: Eukaryota; Metazoa; Nematoda; Chromadorea; Rhabditida; Rhabditidae.